UGGGGAAUAUUGGACAAUGGGGGCAACCCUGAUCCAGCAAUGCCGCGUGUGUGAAGAAGGCCUUCGGGUUGUAAAGCACUUUUAUCGGGAACGAAACAUUGUCGGCCAAUACCCGGCAAGCCUGACGGUACCCGAGGAAUAAGCACCGGCUAACUCCGUGCCAGCAGCCGCGGUAAUACGGAGGGUGCAGGCGUUAAUCGGAAUUACUGGGCGUAAAGCGUGCGCAGGCGGUUUGUUAAGUCUGCUGUGAAAUCCCCGAGCUCAACUUGGGAAUUGCAGUGGAAACUGGCAAGCUGGAGUACGGUAGAGGAAGGUGGAAUUCCCGGUGUAGCAGUGAAAUGCGUAGAGAUCGGGAGGAACACCAGUGGCGAAGGCGGCCUUCUGGACCAGUACUGACGCUCAUGCACGAAAGCGUGGGGAGCAAACA
RNAcentral lists this ribosomal RNA (427 nucleotides) under uncultured bacterium. RNAcentral's name for it is "bacterial SSU rRNA". It matches the Rfam family "Bacterial small subunit ribosomal RNA", at positions 355 to 774 of the family's 1533-position model. The record is from RNAcentral.